GGGCGCGGCCAGCGCGACUUCAAAAGGCCGCUCCCCGAUCGGGUUAUUACGUACAGUCCGGCUGGAAACUGCGAGGAGGGAGUAGGGGUUGUGUGUUGUUCUAGAAAGUCCUCGACCUUGCAGGGGUGAUAAAUUGGAAGGAGGGCAGGCGGGGCGAGUACAAUGCUGGAAAGACCCAAACACAUUUGUUUGUGACCUUAGCCAAGUGAGUUAACUUUCCACCAUGACAUCGCAUCAGUAAAAGGAGAUAUUAUUAACUCUUGCUUAAUGCGGUUUUUGAAAGGAUUAAAUGAAGUAAGGGAUGAAGCUGUGCUCAGCACAGUGACUGGCACAUAGUAGGGCCUCCACUCCAACCCAUUUUAGAAGUCAGUUUCCACCAGCGGCCAUUCUGGCUCUCCACCAGUUUUAUUCCCAUUCGUUAAGGAAAGGUUUAUUGAGGGCUUAUAAUUUGUGCUUGGAGCUGGGUACACGUAGGACUAAGACCAGAUACUGGUUUUUCAAAGAGCUUUUGAUCAUUGGGAGUCUAAGACAUUCACCUUAAAUAAUUUAUAAAACAGAGAGUGAUAAGCUACAUAAGAGAGGUUUCUGGAAAAGAUUGUGUGAGUUUACAGAGGGAGGGAAAUUACUAGUGAGAGGGACAGAAAGCAGCUUUGAAUAGCUAAAGACAUCUUUUGUGUACUUAUAUGUCAGCACAUUGGACUUAACCUGCCCGCUCGUUUGAAGAACUUGAAGUAUGUGAACGAUGGGAAAGGGCAUUCUAGACAGAGACCAGCACAAGGAGCUGCAUAAACCUAUUUCACGAAUAGAGUCCAGUUCGUAUGCUAGCAGGAAAGCAUGUUCUAAAUUUUAGAAUAAUUUCUGAUAGCGUUUAAAAUUAUGUUUACGUAAAAAUUAUGUUAAAAAUCUCCCUUGAAUAAAGGGACCCUUAGGUAGUUUGUUUUGCCUGGAAUGCAAAGUCGAUGAAAAGUAGUGGAGGAAAAGGGUUUGGAAAAAUAGGUUGGGACCAGUCUAGAGAAGGCCUUAUAAGCCAGACAGGAUUUUGACUUUAUUGUAUAAGAAUUGGAAUGCUGAGGGGAGAAAAAGACUUCUCUGUUAUGUUACAGGAAAGUUUAUCUGGCAAGGCAUUGAAUGAGUUGCAGGGAAGAGGCCAGUUAGGAGACAGUGCUUGUCACUGCUUGCACAUCAACUGGUGUGAUGCCUGGCACUGUGCAGUACUAUUUCUUAUUAGGUGAGUGCUGUUGACUGCCUGUGCUGGAACAGAGAUGGAUGUCAAGGCAGCGUAGGAGUUCGAGUGUUGAGCACUAUCUCACAAAGCAUGCAGUCAGAGAGAGGUGGGAGUCCUGUCCUUGUCUUCAGCAACUGCUCAAGAAUUGUUCAAGCACUCAUGCUGCUGGGAUGCACCAGCCCAUAGUAGUGUGGUAUGGUAACAUCACCAGACAUGGCCUGGGUUGAGAUUACAGAUUAUCAUCAAAUAGUAUGUUCUGGUCUGAUGUAUCUGAGUUCUGGUGGUUGAAAGAUAGCACACUGAGUCAGAAUUUUUAGAGCCAGAAAAAACUUUGGAGGUUAUCUAGUCCAACCCUCUUGUUUUCCUGAUAAGGAAACGGAGGCCCAGAUUGUUGUUACUUUGAACAUUGCAUGAUCAGUGAUAAAGCCGAUACUAAAAAUCAGAUCUCUUAACUUUUGCCAUUACAGUAUGGUGAAUAUAUGCAUCCUUUCUUUAUGCUUUGCUUUGUAAACCAGAAGCAGUUUAGUGAAAAGAACAUGGAUUUUUGGAGUCCGGCAGAUACAGGUUUGUAUCUCAGUUUUCCUGCUUACUGGCAAGUGAUCCUAGAGAUGUUGUGUCUCCUCUUUGGGCCUCAAUUUCCUCACCAAGAUAAUCGAGACAGAAUAGCUCACCUACAGGAUUGUUGUGAGAAUUAGAAGUAAUAUGUAAAAAGUGCAUUGUGGGGACAGCCCUGUGGCAUAGUGGCUAAAAUUCGGCGUGCUCUGCAUUGGCAGCAAGGGUUCAUGGGUUUGGAUCCCAGGUGUGGACCUACACCACUUGUCAGCCAUGCUGUGGCCGCAUCCCACAAACAAAGUAGAGGAAGGUUGGCACAGAUGUUAGCUCAGGGCUAAUCUUCCUUAAGCAAAAAAAAAAAAAAAAAAAAAGGGAUACACACACAUUAUAGAUUCUAUGGGAACACAAUGAGGAAGGAACUCAUUUUGACUGACACAAACUCUAAACAAAAUUUAGAGAUCCCUUCAGAGAAGUUGUUUAAUUUACAUUGGGUCUUGAAGAAUGAGUAGGAGUUCACUGGGAAGAGAAAGGACUGUGGGUUUUCAGGGGUGAAAAAGCACAGACGUGUGAAACAGUGCUACAGUUCUGGGAAGGGGAAAAGCAACUGCAUUGUUGUGUGGGACACAUGAAGGCCAUUGGACUGGAAAGGGGAGGAGGGACCAUAGAGGGCCUUCAUGCCUUGCUGGAGAAUUUGGAAUUUGGACUUUAUUCCCUGGGUGAUGGGAAAUCUGUGUGUGUGUGUGCGUGUGUGUUUAAAACAGCUUUAUUCAGGUAUAAUCUACGUACCACAAAAUUCACCCAUUGUAGUUGUAUUAUUCACUGCUUUUUAGUACAUGUACAGUUUUGGAACCAUCAACACUACCAAGUUUUAGCAAAUUUCCAUUACCCUGAAAAACCCUUUGUGCCCACUUUCAGGUAAUCUCUCUUCCCACCUCCAGCUCCAGGCAGACACGAAUCUGCUCUCACGAUAUAUAGCUUUGCCUUUUCUGGACAGUUCAUAUAGAUGAAAUCAUACAAUACAUAGUCUUUUGCAUCUGGAUUCUUUCUCUUGGCAGAAUAAUUUUGAGCGUCAUCCAUGCUGUAGCAGGUAUUUAUUGUUGUUUUGGCGCUGAAUAGUAGCGCACUAAUGGAUAUGCCCUAUUUUGUUUAUCUGUUUGACAGUUGAUGGACAUUAGAUGGUUUACACUUUUUGACUAUUAUGAGUGAUGUUGCUAUGAACAUUUGUAUACAAGUCUUCAUGGGAACUUUGUGUUUUCAUUUCUCUUGGACAGAUACCUGGGAGUGGAAUUGUUGGGUUGUGUGGUAAUUUAUGUUUAACUUUAUAGGAUAUUGCCAAACUGUUUUCCAAAGUGAUUGUACCAUUUUAUUCUGUGGGUUUUUAAGCAGAAGAAAGAUUCAGUUUUCCAUUUCUGCUAAACUGAGAAACAAACUCAGAAGUUGAGUGGGAAGCCAGUUUCAUUUUCAAAGAAUGUAUAACAGUAGAUACUUAUUUUGAAUUUAUAAAAUGUUUCAUUGGAACCAAAAUUUUAAAAAGAACUCUUAAAACUGUAACCCCCUGGCUAAGUUAUCACUAGAUGUGUAUUUCUUCUUGUGGACCCAAUCAAGACAGAGAAAUGUGUGAGAUCGUCUAUUUUUUAUCAGUACCAAGUCGUUUUCCUAUCCCUCAGCUAAUGAGGUUCCUUUGCUUGAUUUAGGGUAAACUUGGCCUUGGAGAGUUUGUGGUGUGGUAACCCCUUCAGUCAGAGAUUUGCUUCAUGAAUUUACAAUCAUCUAUAAGGUCCUUUCAAAACGAGAAUCCAGAAAUAGCCCUCCAUUGAAAGGGGUUUCAAUCUAGUAAUUGAUUCAGAAAUUAUUGGGGGGAAUUCUGUUACCAGGGGUGGUUUGUUCAAAUCAGGCUUUUCAGCAAUAAAUGGUAUUUCAAGUGGGGAGGGAAUUAUCAUCACUCCUGAAAACCAGCAAAAUACUCUGACGCAGGAUAUGCUGCAUCAGAACAGAAUGGCUAAAGUGUUCAAAUUUUUCUACUCAGAAGAUAAUCUUUUCUAAACUAUAUUUUGUUAUGUUCUGUAUUGCGUGGUCUUUGGCCUAAAAAAAGACCCAGAAAUAACUAUUCAUCUGAACGCUGUUUUUUUCUAGGGAGUGACUAACCAUCUCACAGAGAGAGUUUGAGAAAGUAGAGAUAAUUCCAAGCAGGAUAAUUAAACAAUUAUUUAUAUUUGUCGUUAGAAUGUAGUGUCUAUUUUAUGGGAGGGAUAAAGAAAGAAUGGUAGAAGAGGUACAUGUGAGACUUGUUAGAAAGUUACUAUCCUAAUUAAUUUGGGGUGAGCCUAACAUUAAAAUUUUUGUUCUCUAAGCACAGAACAUUUAAUAGUCGAAGCAACUUCUCCUCCACAAAGAGGAAGUCACUUUGGAAUUCAAAAUGUUGUUUGGGAAGUCCAAGUGGGUAAACAACACAUGAAUUGCUGAGACAUGACUUUAUUUCACUGGAGUCAAUAUUUCCCCUCCUGAGGAGAAGAAAAAUCCAGAAUCAAAGGAAAUGCCCAAAGACUGGUUUGUUAUCUCUUUCCAACAUCAGAGAUAAAUGACUAUAGGAAAAAACCAGGAUUUUUCUCCAGCUCACAACUGAUGUUAUAGUGAAAGGAUAGAGGGCCUGUUAAUCUAGCAAGAGGCUUUAAGAAAAGUUGGGAGUCCAUCAUUGUGAUUCUUCUGGGACUCAGGAGGGUUCUCUUGACAAAAAUUCCUUCCUUACUCCCAUGUUCUUGAAAUCCCUAAAGCACAGAGACAUCUUUUUAUCCUUCCUGUCUCUGGUGACUUACGUGACGUUAACGGCCUGUUCUGGACUGUCGCUUUGAGCACUACUGGACCCCAUCUUCAGUUUCUUGUUCAAAAGGGGAAGCCACCGUGCAGAGCUGCAUCUCGGCACGUCAGCAGUUACUCUCCCCAGCACAGGAGCGUGGUCCUUUCACAGACCUGUCAUGAGAAGCAGAGGCCUGCUCUGCACUGGCCCGUUUGAUCCAAGUGCACACUGAAAGUGGAAGUCGAAGUGUGAAGGGCUAGACCUUUUGAUCUUGUCUCAUGAAACAAAGUUUCGUAGUAACGGUAGCAACCAAGACAAACCUAUGGUCAGGUCUUACUGACUAGUCUAUUACUUUUGCUUUCUCUCCAAGAGUUUAUUAAUAACCUGACACUUGUUCUCCUUUCUGAUUCCCCCAUGAGAUCAUUACAAACAGAACUGUCAGAAGUCCCUCUUAGACUCUCGUUUAAGUACCCUUCUUGAAGGGGAGCAAGCUAAUCCACAAUGGAGAGGACUCAAUAAAAUAAACAGCUGGAAAUAAGCAGACUACUGUAAGAGUGAGUUGAAAAGAAAACCCAAUAAUGAAAGCCAAAAAGUUAACUGUAUAGAGAUGUGCAGAACAACAUUAAAUAUUAUGACUCAAAAGCAGGGACGAAGGUAAAUUUGAAAGAAGAGUAAGAGAGAAAAUGUUUACAGGCCAUUACAAGUUCUUAAGUUAAUAGUAAAUAAGGAAUCAAUUGCUCAAGUUGAAGAAAGCAGUAAACAAGAGAUUGCAUUUACAUGCAGAUGUCUAAAAUUUGUAUUUUUUUAAGUCUAUGCACAAAAGUCAUUUGUUUUAUUGCUUGACAUUCAGUUAUGGCUAGAUUAUUUAACCUAUUUUUUUUGUACUUUGGAAACAAGAAUAUUGUUAAAGGUGCCAUAAAAAUGGACAACAUUGAAAACGGUUUGCAAAUAAACCACCUAACACUGCAGUUCUUUCUACAUGUUAAAAGCCUUGUCUGGGGUUUGUCAUAUGUUAAAUAUAUUUAAACUGGGAAAAUAUGUUGUAGCUUGAAGCCUCCCAUUGGCCCAAACAUCCAAUACAAAAACACAUCUCCACAAAAGGAGCAGGCAGACAAUACAGGUACAUUUAAAGAAGCAGCCAGCUAAUGUCCUAAUGGUUAAAAAUUUACCACUGUUUUAUAUGAGAUUUCGAACCACUGUGGAUAAGAAGAGAAUUUUUGGAUUCAGGAAGAUGUGUACAGUACAUAUGGAUUUUUUUUGUGAAAUCAUAUUCACUAUAUUGCUCAAGAAUUAUCUGCAUUUACGUCUGCAAUCUGUUCAAUGAUAACCAAGUUCCUAGAAAUAGUAUUCAUCCACAUUAAAGUAACAACGAGUGAGCAAGGAAUCACACACAAACACUGGAGAGAAUUUAGUUGCUCGCAGAGAACAACACAAUGUCAUGUGCCACAUGUCAAAGCUAGUAGCAAGCUCUCUUUCAUUAGUUCUUAGAAGGAAAAAAGAAAAAGAAGUGUGAUACUGCUGAUGUGGCAAACACGCUAAACGUCAACAGCAAACACGAUUCUCUAGGCAUGUAUCUAAAAUAGAUUCACUUUCUCAACACAAGAGUCCAUGCUAUGUUGCAUUGUGGAAAAAAGGUGGUUUCUAUUUGGACUGAAUAUUCUGUCGUUCAUUUAUAAAUAAAUAAAUGACUGAAUGUCUUUAUUGCUCUAAGUUCUGAGGGUCUGGUUAAAUAUGGAGAUCCCCCAUCUACGGUGUUUCCUUGGCAUGAAACCAGGCUUCUGGGUUAUUUUUAAAAUUGUUCUGAGAGCCUGGUAAAACUGAUCUCACUUACACAAACAAACAAGCAAAUGGACCCAGAAGUGAACCCAAUUGCUCUGUAAAGACAUUGCUCGCCAGCUUUCUCAUCUCUUAAGAAUAAACAAUAAUAGGAAGGUCUCUCUAAUAAAAUCUGGUGGAUUCUCUUUAACGAUACUAGUAUUUAGAGAUAGAAUGAAGAUCUAUAUCAAUAGACUAUUAGCAAUAGAUAAGAUUUCCUGUGCAAUUGCAUUUCCGGGCACAUAAUGUGAACUAUAGUAUAAAGUUGUUUUUGUAGGGUUCUGCUGUGUCAUAUCUUUAUAAAUAAAAAGUGGCAAUAAAAUGUUACAAUAUGUAAAAAUGUCAAUAACCUCUGUGUGUGUAUAUAUGUAUACGCAUGGAGAGAGAGAAAGAGAGAGAGAUUUCUGCCAUUUUCUGUAGUCUUUAUCAAAAAUAACAAGAUAACGCUUUCUUUUUUAUCUAAACGACAUUGAAAGUUUUCCCAAAUUAUGCUCUCCUGUGUUAGGAAGAAAAUAUGUAGAUUUUUUCUGAAUGUGUAUCACAGGUGUAGAAAAAUCAAAACCAACAAUUACACUGAGGUGCGCUGACUUUAUGGAAAAUAAUAUAUGGAAAUAUGAGAACAAAACUGUAUUUCAAAAAUGUAAAAUGGAACCCUGAAAGCUGGCUCAUGUUGCUGUUAUCCAAGUGUGUUUUGUUUGUCUUUAAACAUUAGCUCUCAGUAGAUAAAAACUACAAAUGUGGAAGUAGAAGAAUUGUGUCACAUAAAGGGAUUUUUUGGUUUGCUUCUAAAGGAGAACACAGUGAAAAUAACAGUUAUCUGCUGGUAUUUAAAAGACGUGUUUCAUCUUUUACCUCUCUCACUGCACUGAUAGGCAGGGCUCUCAUCUCAUUACUGGUUUCUAAAAUUUUUAUCCAUACUAUGUCGAAU
Molecule: long non-coding RNA, 7314 nt
Filed under: Equus caballus (horse)
Lineage: Eukaryota; Metazoa; Chordata; Mammalia; Perissodactyla; Equidae
Description: lncRNA (ENSECAG00000057823.1)
Source: RNAcentral